This 274-nucleotide ribosomal RNA is filed under the name uncultured bacterium. RNAcentral describes it as "partial 16S ribosomal RNA". It matches the Rfam family "Bacterial small subunit ribosomal RNA", at positions 523 to 796 of the family's 1533-position model. The record is from RNAcentral.
AUACGGAGGGUGCAAGCGUUAAUCGGAAUUACUGGGCGUAAAGCGCGCGUAGGCGGAUAUUUAAGUCUCAUGUGAAAGCCCUGGGCUCAACCUGGGAACUGCAUGGGAUACUGGGUAUCUAGAAUACAGUAGAGGGUAGUGGAAUUUCAGGUGUAGCGGUGAAAUGCGUAGAGAUCUGAAGGAACAUCAGUGGCGAAGGCGACUACCUGGACUGAUAUUGACGCUGAGGUACGAAAGCGUGGGUAGCAAACGGGAUUAGAAACCCUAGUAGUCC